GAUGAACGCUGGCGGCGUGCCUAAUACAUGCAAGUCGAGCGAACAGACCAGGAGCUUGCUCCUCUGACGUUAUCGGCGGACGGGAGAGUAACACGUGGAUAACCUACCUAUAAGACUGGGAUAACUUCGGGAAACCGGAGCUAAUACCGGAUAAUAUAUUGAACUGCAUGGUUCAAUAGUUAAAGACGGUUUUGCUUUCACUUAUAGACGGAUACGCCUCGCAUUCGUUAGUUGGUAAGGUAACGGCUUACCCAGGCAACGAUGCGUAGACGGCCUGAGAGGGUGGUCCGCCACCCUGGCACUGAGACACGGUCCAGACUCCUACGGGAGGCAGCAGUAGGGAAUCUUCCGCAAUGGGCGAAAGCUUGACGGAGCAACGCCGCGUGAGUGCUGAAGGUCUUCGGAUCGUAAAACUAUGUUAUUAGGGAAGAACAAAUGUGUAAGUACCUAUGCACGUCUUGACGGUACCUAAUCAGAAAGCCACGGCUAACUCCGUG
This 497-nucleotide ribosomal RNA is filed under the name uncultured bacterium. RNAcentral's name for it is "partial 16S ribosomal RNA". It matches the Rfam family "Bacterial small subunit ribosomal RNA", at positions 28 to 507 of the family's 1533-position model. The record is from RNAcentral.